RNAcentral lists this ribosomal RNA (1220 nucleotides) under Venturia chlorospora. RNAcentral's name for it is "LSU rRNA". It matches the Rfam family "Eukaryotic large subunit ribosomal RNA", at positions 1 to 1242 of the family's 3401-position model. Lineage: Eukaryota; Fungi; Ascomycota; Dothideomycetes; Venturiales; Venturiaceae. The record is from RNAcentral.
GGUUGGCCUCGGAUCAGGUGGGGAUACCCGCUGAACUUAAGCAUAUCAAUAAGCGGAGGAAAAGAAACCAACAGGGAUUGCCUCAGUAACGGCGAGUGAAGCGGCAACAGCUCAAAUUUGAAAUCUGGCGCAAGCCCGAGUUGUAAUUUGUAGAGGAUGUUUCGGGUGAAGCCACGGUCCAAGUCCCUUGGAACAGGACGUCAUAGAGGGUGAGAACCCCGUACCUGGCCGUCGGCUCCCCCCGCUGUGAAACUCCUUCGACGAGUCGAGUUGUUUGGGAAUGCAGCUCUAAAUUGGUGGUAAAUUCCAUCUAAAGCUAAAUACCGGCCAGAGACCGAUAGCGCACAAGUAGAGUGAUCGAAAGAUGAAAAGCACUUUGAAAAGAGAGUUAAAAAGUACGUGAAAUUGUUGAAAGGGAAGCGCUUGCGGCCAGACUUGCCCGCGGUUGCUCAGCCCGCCUUUUGGCGGGUGCACUCUUCCGCGGUCAGGCCAGCAUCGGUUUGGGCGGUCGGAUAAAGGCGUUGGGAACGUGGCCUCCCCUCGGGGAGGUGUUAUAGCCCGGCGCGCAAUGCGACCAGCCCGGACCGAGGUUCGCGCUUUGCUAGGAUGCUGGCGUAAUGGCCGUAAGCGGCCCGUCUUGAAACACGGACCAAGGAGUCUAACAUCUAUGCGAGUGUUUGGGUGUCAAACCCGUGCGCGUAAUGAAAGUGAACGGAGGUGGGAACCGCAAGGUGCACCAUCGACCGAUCCUGAUGUCUUCGGAAGGAUUUGAGUAAGAGCAUAGCUGUUGGGACCCGAAAGAUGGUGAACUAUGCGUGAAUAGGGUGAAGCCAGAGGAAACUCUGGUGGAGGCUCGCAGCGGUUCUGACGUGCAAAUCGAUCGUCAAAUUUGCGUAUAGGGGCGAAAGACUAAUCGAACCAUUUAGUAGCUGGUUCCUGCCGAAGUUUCCCUCAGGAUAGCAGUAACGUUUUCAGUUUUAUGAGGUAAAGCGAAUGAUUAGAGGCCUGGGGGUUGAAACUAACCUUCACCUAUUCUCAAACUUUAAAUAUGUAAGAAGUCCUUGUUACUUAGUUGAACGUGGACAUUUGAAUGCACCGUUACUAGUGGGCCAUUUUUGGUAAGCAGAACUGGCGAUGCGGGAUGAACCGAACGGGGGGUUAAGGUGCCGGAAURCACGCUCAUCAGACACCACAAAAGGUGUUGGUUCAUCUAGACAGCA